GACGAACGCUGGCGGCGUGCCUAACACAUGCAAGUCGAACGGAGUCGGCCCCGCAAGGGACUGACUUAGUGGCGGACGGGUGAGUAACGCGUGAGCAACCUGCCUUUCAGUGGGGGACAACAGUUGGAAACGACUGCUAAUACCGCAUAAUGCAUUUUGACCGCAUGAUCGAGAUGCCAAAGAUUGAUUGCUGAAAGAUGGGCUCGCGUCUGAUUCGAUAGUUGGUGAGGUAACGGCCCACCAAGCCGACGAUCAGUAGCCGGACUGAGAGGUUGAACGGCCCCAAUGGCACUGGGAUACGGCCGAGGCGCCUACGGGGGGAAGCAGGGGGGAAUAUUGGGCAAAGGGGGAAUCCGUGACCCAGCAUCUCCGCGUGAAGGAAGAAGUCUUUAGGGUUGUAAACUUCUUUUACCAGGGACGCAGAAAGUGACGGUACCUGGAGAAAAAGCCACGGCUAACUACGUG
Molecule: ribosomal RNA, 465 nt
Filed under: uncultured bacterium
Lineage: Bacteria
Description: partial 16S ribosomal RNA
Rfam family: Bacterial small subunit ribosomal RNA
Source: RNAcentral